ACUCCUACGGGAGGCAGCAGUGGGGAAUAUUGCACAAUGGGCGCAAGCCUGAUGCAGCCAUGCCGCGUGUAUGAAGAAGGCCUUCGGUUGUAAAGUACUUUCAGCAGUGAGGAAGGUGGGUAUGUUAAUAGCAUAUUCAUUUGUACGUUAGCUGCAGAAGAAGCACCGGCUAACUCCGUGCCAGCAGCCGCGGUAAUACGGAGGGUGCGAGCGUUAAUCGGAAUUACUGGGCGUAAAGCGCAUGCAGGUGGUUUGUUAAGUCAGAUGUGAAAGCCCGGGGCUCAACCUCGGAAUUGCAUUUGAAACUGGCAAACUAGAGUACUGUAGAGGGGGUAGAAUUUCAGGUGUAGCGGUGAAAUGCGUAGAGAUCUGAAGGAAUACCGGUGGCGAAGGCGGCCCCCUGGACAGAUACUGACACUCAGAUGCGAAAGCGUGGGGAGCAAACAGGAUUAGAUACCCUGGUA
This 464-nucleotide ribosomal RNA is filed under the name uncultured bacterium. RNAcentral describes it as "bacterial SSU rRNA". It matches the Rfam family "Bacterial small subunit ribosomal RNA", at positions 335 to 792 of the family's 1533-position model. The record is from RNAcentral.